UCCAAACAUGUCUUUGAAGACCAAGCCACCCACACUCCUUUCCCACGCGGUAUUAAUUGCUGUCCACAGCUGAUGAAGAGGGGAGGUUCAUCGCUUCUCUGGACUUACCCCAAGAGAAGAGAGGCGUUCCCUAGCGACCCUAUUCACCACGCAGCCAACGCUACGGGCUUCACCUGUCCUCAGCUUUCCCCAGGUCUCUGGCCUACCAGCCAUGGCCUGUGGGGCUGGAAAGUUCACUAAAGCCCAGAAAGCCCUUCGAGGUGGCGAUCUGGCCCUACACUCUCUUGGGUCCCUUCAUUAUCCGGACUCCUGACCCUUGUCCUUCCCAGAAGGAAGGCACUUGUGCCUGGGAGGGAACUUUUGCUUUUGUAGGGUUCCGACGGAGCACAGGGCCAAAGGGAGUCCCGGAUCCAGAGUCCCCGCGGGGCACGCGUUCUGUCUCAGCACCUGGAACUUGGGAGUGGCUUUCCGAGGGCAUCCUUCACCCUCCCACCCCACCCCAAAACACAAGCGCGCCUGCCGAGCGCCCAUUGCCUACGGCAGCUCGGAAAUUUUACCCAAAUCUCCAGCGCAAAGGCAGACGGCCCCUUUAAGGGCCGCUCGGCUUACCUUUGCUCAGCUUGCCCGGCGCGCUGCCCCUCUCCGGCCGCCGCCGCGGACUCUGUGCGUGUCCCGGUCGUGGCGAGCCGGCUCCCGCCCUCCGCGGCCGC
RNAcentral lists this long non-coding RNA (710 nucleotides) under Rattus norvegicus (Norway rat). RNAcentral's name for it is "long non-coding RNA NONRATT008200". Lineage: Eukaryota; Metazoa; Chordata; Mammalia; Rodentia; Muridae. The record is from RNAcentral.